GCGGAUGUAGCCAAGUGGAUCAAGGCGGUGGAUUGUGUAUCC
This 42-nucleotide transfer RNA is filed under the name Artocarpus sericicarpus. Its description in RNAcentral is "partial tRNA-His". Lineage: Eukaryota; Viridiplantae; Streptophyta; Magnoliopsida; Rosales; Moraceae. The record is from RNAcentral.